Mizuhopecten yessoensis (Yesso scallop) is the source of this 1187-nucleotide long non-coding RNA. RefSeq lists it as uncharacterized. The record is from RefSeq and is a predicted model, not a curated record. NCBI's taxonomy places the organism in Eukaryota, Metazoa, Mollusca, Bivalvia, Pectinida, Pectinidae. The transcript is spliced from 3 exons.
UGGAAGCGAGCUAUUCAAUAACCUGAUGUGCGUGCUUCUUACUAUGCUGCUGGGCUAUGCGCCGUCGAUCGGACAAAUCGUCAAAGAGAAAUGGUCAGCAGCCGUGUCAAUGUUCCAAGAAUGGAGAGCUCGCCCUUCCCUCUGCCGUCACUGCGGUACUGCCCCGUGCCAGGUUAAAAGGAGAUUAUUGUGGAAGCCUUCCGGGAGUCGUAAGAAAGACAAGGCGAACUUCUCAAAAAGGUCAAACGCCAUGAUGUUGUUUUACUAUGAACUAGAGUUGUCCGUAGUACUGACCAAAGAGCUGCCAUGGAAUGACCUGUACUUGGAGAGGAAGUUCGUCCAGCAUUUUGAGGAGGAACAUAUGGUGUUGUUCCCUUUGUGCAUCCAGCGUCAGAUCAACUACUGGUACCAUGUCCCUCGCUAGAUUCGUUUCGCCGUUCAAAGAGAAGAAUGUGGAUUGUAGUCUGUGAUGGAAUAGAAGUUUGAGAUUGACGUCAGAGACUAGAUUUUAUUGUCUUAGUUUUUGUUGGGGUCACAAUCCGAUCUGAUUGGAAUGGUGUUUGGCCAAUGUUAUAUUGUACCUUAUAUUAGUUUUAUUGAAUUGUAACUCUAUGGAUCUUGACCAAUAGUGGUUUCGUGAAGAACGGAACCGAUACCUGACGAAUUGGCUAUUUAUAACUUAGCUAGUAUUGUCCAGCAGUAAUCCAAUUUAUAAAUUUCGAUGGUGUUGUUUGAUUGGUCAGUUGCUAAUUUGAGUAGUAGUGGAGCUGAAAAGUUGACCAAGCAGCAUUGGUCAGUUCGAAGUCGGUUCGCCUUAUGUAGAUUUUCCCGGUAUUUAUUACAUUAGCAAGUUAGAACGAUGUCGAUCUUAACUGUUUAUUAGUGUUUUGAGAAAAUUUGUCAAAUGCUGAACGUAUAAGUCAGCUCAAACCACUAGUGAUAUCACGCUGGUUGUGGCUAUCAUUUCGAAGGUUCUAACUCUGUCACAUCUUGAAAGCUAUCGAUCCCUCGUAUAUUUAUUCAUGCUAAGUAUUUUGGCAUUUCAAAAUGGAUUGAUUAUGCAUUGACCGCUGUCGUGGUCAGUUAUACACUCGGACAGACUGACCCACAGGUUCUGUAAAAUUACCAACAUGCAUAAUUCUGUUCAUUUUGUACUGGUCAGUUUUGCGUUUGCGAAUUUGUGUAGU